Long non-coding RNA from Perca flavescens (yellow perch), 509 nucleotides. RefSeq lists it as uncharacterized. Lineage: Eukaryota; Metazoa; Chordata; Actinopteri; Perciformes; Percidae. The record is from RefSeq and is a predicted model, not a curated record. The transcript is spliced from 3 exons.
GUCGCCUAGAGCUGGAUGGGUCUAUUGUAACGCAAGCUCGGCCUGCCACUUCAUCUUGGGACCCAGUUGAAGCCAUGAGGACAUCCAUUACCCACAUGGCACAGCGGAUGGACACAUUUGAGGAAAAGAUGGAUGAGCUGCUCAUGCUCUUAAGGAGCUCCCAGUCACCUCCCUCUGCUCCAGUCGAUGACAUGUUGCUGUCGCAAUGCUCAACAGUCACCGAGCUGCAGGAGUUCGACAGGAGUCUUGGUCAUCUGGAGAGGAGGAACAAAAUGCAACUUUUCCUGACAACCCUUGGAGGUUCGACCAGAGGUACUGCCAUUCGUCACAUGCUACGUUCUGGGAACCAAAAAUUGUUAGCUGGGAUCUGCUGAUAAAGGGCCGGUGCCGGCAUUUUUGAGUUGUUUUGUUUAGUUAUAGCUAGAGAUGGUCUGAUACCAUUUUUUGCUUCCCAAUACUGAUUCCGAUACUUGAACUUGAGUAUCGGCCGAUACCGAGUACCAAUCCAA